RNAcentral lists this long non-coding RNA (726 nucleotides) under Felis catus (domestic cat). RNAcentral's name for it is "lncRNA (ENSFCAG00000048143.1)". The record is from RNAcentral. Lineage: Eukaryota; Metazoa; Chordata; Mammalia; Carnivora; Felidae.
CCCUCCAGCCCCUGCCCCGCUACCCACCCCCCACCCCCCUGCCGGGCGGCAAGUAGCCGCUGCAAACCCUUCCCGGGGGACCUGGAAGGCUGGGCUGGGGUGCGGCGGGGGCGGAGCUCGGCGCCCUGCUGCCGCCGCCACCGCCGCCGCUGCCUGCGAAGCUACAGCCCCUUCCCCGGAUGCUCCGGCCCGGCGGCGCUGCCCUCCGUGGACAGGUGGGCGCAUCCCGGGCCUGACGGAGGAGCAGUCGGGCACGUGAACUCCCACCUCCAAUUUGGCUCCGUGCCGGGCGGCGGCGGCUGCAGCCCCGCGGUGGGGGCGGCCCCCGCGGUCUCCGCCCGGCUCCUGCGCGCCGCCUCUGCUCUUUGCAUAGUAAUUUCAGUUCCUGCGAGCACCCAGCUAGCUCCCGGAACGGGGCGAAAAAGGACCGCCGCUCCGGAGCCCGCCGGAGCUAUCCGUGUGGCGCCGAGAGCCGCCGCUUGGGAUAUGCGACGGGGAACCCCCGCCACAGCGCAGGCAGCGGCCCCGCGGCGCCGGGGAGAGCCCAGCGAGAGCAGAUGCAGUUCGAAGGGAAGAACCAAUUUUCCAGCGAGUAUCUUUGAAGUGCAUUUGAGGCAGCUGUUACUGCGAAGAUUGAUCCUUCAGAGGAAUCGUCCCUGACUCCGUCCCUACACUGAGCUAAAACUGCUUCCCAGGUGGAACACUGUUCCGGGGAGAGCUCUGAGG